GACGAACGCUGGCGGCGUGCUUAACACAUGCAAGUCGAACGGGCCUGUCUUCUUUUUUGGGGGUGGGUUGAGUGGCGAACGGGUGAGUAUCACGUGAGUAACCUGCCCUUCGGUCCUGGAUAACCGCUUGAAAGGGCGGCUAAUACGGGGUGGUCCGGUUGGUCCGCAUGGGCUGGUCGGGAUAGAUUCACUGUUUUUGGUGUUUCGGCGGGGGAUGGGCUCGCGGCCUAUCAGCUUGUUGGUGGGGUGAUGGCCUACCAAGGCGGUGACGGGUAGCCGGCCGGAGAGGGUGGGCGGCCACACUGGGACUGAGAUACGGCCCAGACUCCUGCGGGAGGCAGCAGUGGGGGGUAUUGCACAAUGGGCGGAAGCCUGAUGCAGCGACGUCGCGUGAGGGAGGGAGGCCUUCGGGUUGUGAACCUCUGUUUCCGGUGGUGAAGGCCCUGUCCGUGUGGUGGGGUUGACGGUAGCCGGUGAUGAAGCGCCGGCUAACUACGUG
Molecule: ribosomal RNA, 499 nt
Filed under: uncultured bacterium
Lineage: Bacteria
Description: partial 16S ribosomal RNA
Rfam family: Bacterial small subunit ribosomal RNA
Source: RNAcentral